RNAcentral lists this transfer RNA (72 nucleotides) under bacterium SCSIO 12643. RNAcentral's name for it is "tRNA-Arg". It matches the Rfam family "tRNA". Rfam says of the family: Transfer RNA (tRNA) molecules are approximately 80 nucleotides in length. The record is from RNAcentral.
AGGAGUAUAGUUUAAAGGAUAAAACCUUGGUUUACGAAUCCAAAGAUGCGAGUUCGAGUCUUGCUAUUCCUA